RNAcentral lists this long non-coding RNA (1391 nucleotides) under Equus asinus (donkey). RNAcentral's name for it is "lncRNA (ENSEASG00005030518.1)". Lineage: Eukaryota; Metazoa; Chordata; Mammalia; Perissodactyla; Equidae. The record is from RNAcentral.
CCACGAUUACAACUGUCCAAGCUUUUAUUUGAUACACAUGUUAAAACUGGAAUCAUAAGUGAUGACCUGGAAAUAAACUAAUAUUAUCAAGCCAAAAUACACUCGGAGCUAAAACUUCUAUAGAACAUGGGCAUGCAGACCGCCAGAAAACAACAAACACUCUGUUUUUAUUCCCGGUAGUGCUGCAUCAUUGUUUAAGACAAGCUGUUUUCUUAAAGUUUUACCCAAAAAUAUGGUAGGCCAAAUUAGGACAUUUGGCCAAAUUCAAGCUAGCUGGAAUAGCAGUAAUGAGAUGUGCACAUUCUUUUCAGUCAAAGGUGUAUCUGCUGUGGUGAAUUAAUGGCUCCUUUAAAUCCUGUUCUUCUUUCCUUACAGAAUCGGGUCAGGGUGAGUUAUCAGGGAGCCGCACUGUGACGUCUGUUCACUGUGACUUAUGGGAACAGCCCAGAGUUCCUGGAAGUGUGCCCUAUCACUGGCCACUGAUGGUCUCUGUGCCAGCCUUCAAACCAGGGCCGCGGCCUUCUACCCUCCAGAGAGAAAGUUGCAAGGGAGAGAGUCCAUGCUAUUCCACCACAUCCAUCCUGUAGCUAGUCCAUGUGUCUCAAGGAAUCACCGUCAAAGAAAGGAAUUUUUCCAUUUACAUGAAAUGAGUCUUCUCCAGGCAUUGCGAUAGAAUAAAAACUGACAGAGGUCAAUUUCGACUCCAAGAUAAGCAAAAGAACUUCAUGUACACUUACAGUAUAUCCAUUUUUCUGUAGGUAUAUUAUAUCUCAAUAAAAAUCUUUCACAAAUUAAAAAAAAAUAAGAACUUCAAGUAUAAAGAGACAUCUCUUUGGCCACGCUGUAUUUUGUUUUUCUCUGUUGGGGUGGGAGUCUCUGAGCCUCUUCUUCCCAGAGUGGUGUCUGUGGCUUGCCAGCAGCGGCCUCAGCGAGCCAGGUUUCACAGUGGUGUUAAUGGCACUGCGGCUCUUAUCUCUUGUCCCUGAUGGCAAAGAGCUUUCAGAGGGAGCCUCUGAAGAGCGGCCUCCACCUCAUCAAAAUGUGAAGGAAUAUAGCCUGCUCUUGAAUUAAUCCUCACAAGGACACCAUUGCUUCACCUAUCUGCUUAGCUCGUUCCGGCUCUGCAUUUCUGGUUUCUGGUUGGAGGCUGGAUUUUAGGCCCUAUAAAUGCACGGCAAGGCAGUGCCUCCGAAUUUCCUGUGGUGUCUCUGGAAGUAUGGCUUAUCUUGGCAGCUAUUUCUACAAUAAUCUGAUCAAACUGAUCUUCAUAGAUUUUCCUUCAAUUGAGAUAUAAUUCACAUACCAUUAAACUCACUCUUUCCAAGCAUAUAAUUCAAUGGUGUUUAGUGUAUUCACAAAACUGUGCAACUGUCACCACUAUGUAAUUCCAG